CGACGCUGGCGGCAGGCUUAACACAUGCAAGUCGAACGCGUGUAGCAAUACACGAGUGGCGCACGGGUGAGUAACGCGUGGAUAUCUGCCUUUUGGUUCGGAAUAACUCCGGGAAACUGGAGCUAAUACCGGAUGGUUCCUACGGGAUAAAGAUUUAUCGCCAAAAGAUGAGUCCGCGCACGAUUAGCUAGUUGGUGAGGUAAUGGCUCACCAAGGCGACGAUCGUUAGCUGGUCUGAGAGGACGAUCAGCCACACUGGGACUGAGACACGGCCCAGACUCCUACGGGAGGCAGCAGUGGGGAAUAUUGGACAAUGGGCGAAAGCCUGAUCCAGCAAUGCCGCGUGAGUGAUGAAGGCCUUAGGGUUGUAAAGCUCUUUUACCCGAGAUGAUAAUGACAGUAUCGGGAGAAUAAGCUCCGGCUAACUCCGUG
This 432-nucleotide ribosomal RNA is filed under the name uncultured bacterium. Its description in RNAcentral is "bacterial SSU rRNA". It matches the Rfam family "Bacterial small subunit ribosomal RNA", at positions 32 to 507 of the family's 1533-position model. The record is from RNAcentral.